This 1599-nucleotide long non-coding RNA is filed under the name Struthio camelus australis. RNAcentral describes it as "lncRNA (ENSSCUG00000008821.1)". The record is from RNAcentral. Lineage: Eukaryota; Metazoa; Chordata; Aves; Struthioniformes; Struthionidae.
UUUUAAUGUUUUUCUAUGAGAAUAAGCAAGUAAAAGGAGGCAACACUGCCUAGAUUGAGGCAACCUAGCAAAUGAUUUCCCACAGAACACAGAACUGCUGACUAUAGUGUGAUUUGUUCAUGGUCCGUGGACUGCAGGUGAUUGCAUCAUUGAUAAAAAUAGACCUUGGAAACCUACAUAUCUGAAUACAAUUGGUAUGUGCAAAUAAGGACCGUAUGCAGGAUAAGAAGGUGAAAGGAUACAGAAGAGCUUUCAGAAAGAGCGACUGAGUUCAGGGAAAGUUGAUGACUUGAGGAGGGGGAUGCUUUACUCAAGACCGGGUGUGUUCAUCUGCGAUAGAGUUACAGGCCAAUGGCUUUGAAGCAAGCACUUCUGGAAUACUGCAUCCAGUUUUGGGCCUCCCGUACAGGAAAGACACCAGUAAACUGGAGCGAGUUUAGUGGACACCACCAAGCUGGUCGGGGCUGGAGCACUUGCCCUGUGAAGAGGCUGCGGGAGCUGGGCUUGUUCACUGUAGAGAAGAGUCCUCACAGCAGUCCCCCAACAUCUACACGGAGGUGAUCAAGGAGAGAGAGCCAGGCUCUUUGCGGCGGUGCAUAGUGGGACAACAGGCAUAAGCUGAGAAAAAGAAGGUCCUACUGGAGAUAAGGAGACACUUUGCCCCCAAGAGGAUAGUGGAGCAGUGGUACAGGUUGCCCAGAGGUUGUGCUGUCUCCAUCGUUGGAGAUUUUCAAGCCCCGAUUGGACAAAGCCCUGAGCAACCUCGUCUGAGCUCACAGCUAUCCUUACUUGAGCAGCAGGUUGGACUGGAGCCCUCCUGAGGUCACUUCCCAUCUGAAUUUUCCUAUGCUCUUACAAUCCUACAUUUGCAACUAUAUUUGCAGUUCAGAAGUGGAAUAUGCACCCAUAUAGAUAAGCACAGCAAUGAACCAAACCACUCAGCCAGAUCCAAUAUCCUGUUGUUCUUAAAAGAAAUUAAGUGAAAUUGUCACAUUACCUCAGUCAAUAGCAGAAUUCUCAGUCAUUUUGACAGAGCCAAGAUAUCACCCAUUGUAUUUUGUCUCUAAAUAUGGAGAAGAAAUACUAAAGUUUUGCCAUCAGCUUCAGGGAGGUCAUGUUGCACCAGAUGACUAAGGUUAUCCAGUCCUAGGCCAGCUACAAUCUGUACUAGGCUCUUAGCUAAAAGUACCUAAAACAAGAUGGAAUGAAUCCAAGCAUGGAGGUUGAAUCACUGUUUUUUUUUUUUUUAAUCUAUACCUAAUUUGAGAUUGGGCUUAGCUUGCUUUGUCCAGGAAGCAAAUAUGUAUGACUGAUACUCAGUUUUCAAAGUUAAGCCUGUACAGUGUGUAUAUACAUACAUUCGCCUGAAGUGUGUGACUGCCAGAUUGUGAAUGCAACUGAUAUAAUUGUACCUGCCAACACAGUUAGAGACGAUCUUGUGUUUAUGCAAUCCAUGCUCAUGCAGAUUAGAUGCAUAGUUUCUUGCAUUUUCUUAGGCAUAUAAUAUAAACAUAUCCAUCUUGAAUGAGUCUGAUGUCUUUCUGUGCUUCUCUUAGACAAAGUUAAAAGUAAAAUAAAUUUGAGCUCUGAAUACUUGCA